Molecule: ribosomal RNA, 519 nt
Filed under: Fusarium oxysporum f. sp. ranunculi
Lineage: Eukaryota; Fungi; Ascomycota; Sordariomycetes; Hypocreales; Nectriaceae
Description: eukaryotic LSU rRNA
Rfam family: 5.8S ribosomal RNA (bases 171-324)
Source: RNAcentral
GUGACCAGCGGAGGGAUCAUUACCGAGUUUACAACUCCCAAACCCCUGUGAACAUACCACUUGUUGCCUCGGCGGAUCAGCCCGCUCCCGGUAAAACGGGACGGCCCGCCAGAGGACCCCUAAACUCUGUUUCUAUAUGUAACUUCUGAGUAAAACCAUAAAUAAAUCAAAACUUUCAACAACGGAUCUCUUGGUUCUGGCAUCGAUGAAGAACGCAGCAAAAUGCGAUAAGUAAUGUGAAUUGCAGAAUUCAGUGAAUCAUCGAAUCUUUGAACGCACAUUGCGCCCGCCAGUAUUCUGGCGGGCAUGCCUGUUCGAGCGUCAUUUCAACCCUCAAGCACAGCUUGGUGUUGGGACUCGCGUUAAUUCGCGUUCCUCAAAUUGAUUGGCGGUCACGUCGAGCUUCCAUAGCGUAGUAGUAAAACCCUCGUUACUGGUAAUCGUCGCGGCCACGCCGUUAAACCCCAACUUCUGAAUGUUGACCUCGGAUCAGGUAGGAAUACCCGCUGAACUUAAGCA